UUUAAAGAGUGCGUAAUAGCUCACUAGUCUAGUUUUUUGGCGCCGCAAGUACAACGGGGCUAAGCUUAAUACCGAAUUUUUGGAUUUAAGAUUUAAUAAUUUUAAGUGGUAGACAAAUGUUGUAUAAGGGUUGAAGUUUGAACGAGAGUAUAAAUGGACUUUAUACAAGUAAGAAUUCCGGCGUAAGUAACGAAUGAAAGUGAGAAUCUUUCUAGCCGAUUGAUCAAGGUUUCCGGGGCUAGGUUCGUCCUCCUCGGGUUAGUCGAUCCUAAGGUGAGGCCGAAAGGCGUAGCCGAUGGACAACAGGUUAAUAUUCCUGUACUACCUUAGAUUGUCAACGGGCGGACAAAAGAGGUUAAAGUAAAAGGAUUAUUGGAUUUCCUUCUAAGUUUCGAAGCAAGUCGAGGCUGAAAAUCACCCCGACAUUAAUUGCAAGAAACGAAUGCUAUUUUUGGUAGGGAUAUCAGGAAGAAUUACUACCAAUCUCUUUUCGCGAAAAAACUCUAGACUUAAAUCUAAGGUAUUCGUACCGAAACCGAACACACGUGAUCAAGGAGAAUAUCCUAAGGCUAGCGAGCUAACUACAGUUAAGGAACUCUGCAAAUUAACUCUGUAACUUAGGGAGAAAGAGUGCCCCAGAAGGAAUCUGGGGCCACAGUAAAGAACGAGGGCGAACUGUUUAACAAAAACACAGCUAUAUGCAAAAUUCGAAUAUGAAGUAUAUG
Molecule: ribosomal RNA, 725 nt
Filed under: uncultured Mycoplasma sp.
Lineage: Bacteria; Bacillati; Mycoplasmatota; Mollicutes; Mycoplasmatales; Mycoplasmataceae
Description: partial 23S ribosomal RNA
Rfam family: Bacterial large subunit ribosomal RNA
Source: RNAcentral